This 460-nucleotide ribosomal RNA is filed under the name uncultured bacterium. RNAcentral's name for it is "partial 16S ribosomal RNA". It matches the Rfam family "Bacterial small subunit ribosomal RNA", at positions 338 to 795 of the family's 1533-position model. The record is from RNAcentral.
CCUACGGGUGGCAGCAGUGAGGAAUAUUGGUCAAUGGACGAGAGUCUGAACCAGCCAAGUAGCGUGAAGGAUGACUGCCCUAUGGGUUGUAAACUUCUUUUAUAUGGGAAUAAAACGUUCCAAGUGUGGGAUUUUGUAUGUAACAUAUGAAUAAGGAUAGGGUAACUCCGUGCCAGCAGCCGCGGUAAUACGGAGGAUCCGAGAGUUAUCCGGAUUUAUUGGGGUUAAAGGGAGCGUAGGUGGAUUGUUAAGUCAGUUGGGAAAGUUUGCGGCUCAACCGUAAAAUUGCAGUUGAAACUGGCAGUCUUGAGUACAGUAGAGGUAGGCGGAAUUCGUGGUGUAGCGGUGAAAUGCGUAGAUAUCACGAAGAACUCCGAUUGCGAAGGCGGCUCGCUGGACUGCAACUGACACUGAGGCUCGAAAGUGUGGGUAUCAAACAGGAUUAGAUACCCCUGUAGUC